RNAcentral lists this ribosomal RNA (471 nucleotides) under uncultured bacterium. RNAcentral's name for it is "partial 16S ribosomal RNA". It matches the Rfam family "Bacterial small subunit ribosomal RNA", at positions 28 to 506 of the family's 1533-position model. The record is from RNAcentral.
GACGAACGCUGGCGGCGUGCUUAACACAUGCAAGUCGAACGCUGAAGCUUGGUGCUUGCACUGGGUGGAUGAGUGGCGAACGGGUGAGUAAUACGUGAGUAACCUGCCCUUGACUCUGGGAUAAGCCUGGGAAACUGGGUCUAAUACUGGAUACGACAUGUCACCGCAUGGUGGUGUGUGGAAAGGGUUUUACUGGUUUUGGAUGGGCUCACGGCCUAUCAGCUUGUUGGUGGGGUAAUGGCUCACCAAGGCGACGACGGGUAGCCGGCCUGAGAGGGUGACCGGCCACACUGGGACUGGGACACGGCCCAGACUCCUACGGGAGGCAGCAGUGGGGAAUAUUGCACAAUGGGCGGAAGCCUGAUGCAGCGACGCCGCGUGAGGGAGGACGGCCUUCGGGUUGUAAACCUCUUUCAGCACGGAAGAAGCGAAAGGGACGGAACGUGCAGAAGAAGCGCCGGCUAACUACGU